Molecule: ribosomal RNA, 727 nt
Filed under: Salmonella enterica
Lineage: Bacteria; Pseudomonadati; Pseudomonadota; Gammaproteobacteria; Enterobacterales; Enterobacteriaceae
Also listed under: 1 other name
Description: partial 23S ribosomal RNA
Rfam family: Bacterial large subunit ribosomal RNA
Source: RNAcentral
GGUUAAGCGACUAAGCGUACACGGUGGAUGCCCUGGCAGUCAGAGGCGAUGAAGGGCGUGCUAAUCUGCGAUAAGCGCCGGUAAGGUGAUAUGAACCGUUAUAACCGGCGAUACCCGAAUGGGGAAACCCAGUGUGACUCGUCACACUAUCAUUAACUGAAUCCAUAGGUUAAUGAGGCGAACCGGGGGAACUGAAACAUCUAAGUACCCCGAGGAAAAGAAAUCAACCGAGAUUCCCCCAGUAGCGGCGAGCGAACGGGGAGGAGCCCAGAGCCUGAAUCAGCAUGUGUGUUAGUGGAAGCGUCUGGAAAGGCGCGCGAUACAGGGUGACAGCCCCGUACACAAAAGCGCAUGUGCUGUGAGCUCGAUGAGUAGGGCGGGACACGUGGUAUCCUGUCUGAAUAUGGGGGGACCAUCCUCCAAGGCUAAAUACUCCUGACUGACCGAUAGUGAACCAGUACCGUGAGGGAAAGGCGAAAAGAACCCCGGCGAGGGGAGUGAAAAAGAACCUGAAACCGUGUACGUACAAGCAGUGGGAGCCCCACCACCAAAGCAUUCUCUGGUGUUGAAGGCCCUGCAAAGCAGCAUCGCGGUGGCGGAGCGUCGUUUGCGACGCCCAACACACAAAACAAGCGGUGAGUGCUUUGGGGUGGGGUGACUGCGUACCUUUUGUAUAAUGGGUCAGCGACUUAUAUUCUGUAGCAAGGUUAACCGAAUAGGGGAGCCG